RNAcentral lists this ribosomal RNA (492 nucleotides) under uncultured bacterium. RNAcentral's name for it is "partial 16S ribosomal RNA". It matches the Rfam family "Bacterial small subunit ribosomal RNA", at positions 29 to 507 of the family's 1533-position model. The record is from RNAcentral.
AGUGAACGCUGGCGGUAGGCCUAACACAUGCAAGUCGAACGGCAGCACAGUAAGGGCUUGCUCUUACGGGUGGCGAGUGGCGGACGGGUGAGGAAUACAUCGGAAUCUACUUUUUCGUGGGGGAUAACGUAGGGAAACUUACGCUCAUACCGCAUACGACCUACGGGUGAAAGCAGGGGAUCUUCGGACCUUGCGCGAUUGAAUGAGCCGAUGUCGGAUUAGCUAGUUGGCGGGGUAAAGGCCCACCAAGGCGACGAUCCGUAGCUGGUCUGAGAGGAUGAUCAGCCACACUGGAACUGAGACACGGUCCAGACUCCUACGGGAGGCAGCAGUGGGGAAUAUUGGACAAUGGGCGCAAGCCUGAUCCAGCCAUACCGCGUGGGUGAAGAAGGCCUUCGGGUUGUAAAGCCCUUUUGUUGGGAAAGAAAAGCAGCAGGUUAAUACCCCGCUGUUCUGACGGUACCCAAAGAAUAAGCACCGGCUAACUUCGUG